Molecule: ribosomal RNA, 396 nt
Filed under: uncultured bacterium
Lineage: Bacteria
Description: partial 16S ribosomal RNA
Rfam family: Bacterial small subunit ribosomal RNA
Source: RNAcentral
AUACGUAGGUGGCAAGCGUUGUCCGGAAUUAUUGGGCGUAAAGCGCGCGCAGGUGGUUCCUUAAGUCUGAUGUGAAAGCCCCCGGCUCAACCGGGGAGGGUCAUUGGAAACUGGGGAACUUGAGUGCAGAAGAGGAUAGUGGAAUUCCAAGUGUAGCGGUGAAAUGCGUAGAGAUUUGGAGGAACACCAGUGGCGAGGGCGACUGCCUGGUCUGUACCUGAAACUGAGGCGCGAAAGCGUGGGAGCAAACAGGAUUAGAUACCCUGGUAGCCCACGCCGUAAACGAUGAGUGCUAAGUGUUGGGGGGUUUCCGCCCCUCAGUGCUGCAGCUAACGCAUUAAGCACUCCGCCUGGGGAGUACGGUCGCAAGACUGAAACUCAAAUGAAUUGGCGGGG